UACGUAGGGGGCGAGCGUUGUCCGGAUUUACUGGGCGUAAAGAGCGCGCAGGCGGUCGAUCAAGUCUAGUGUGAAAGCCCCCGGCUCAACUGGGGAGGGUCAUUCGAUACUGAUCGACUCGAAGGCAGGAGAGGGUAGUGGAAUUCCAGGUGUAGCGGUGAAAUGCGUAGAUAUCUGGAGGAACACCGGUGGCGAAGGCGGCGUUCUGGACUGCAACUGACACUGAGAGACGAAAGCCAGGGGAGCAAACGGG
RNAcentral lists this ribosomal RNA (253 nucleotides) under uncultured bacterium. RNAcentral's name for it is "partial 16S ribosomal RNA". It matches the Rfam family "Bacterial small subunit ribosomal RNA", at positions 524 to 776 of the family's 1533-position model. The record is from RNAcentral.